GAGUUUGAUUCAUGGCUCAGGAUGAACGCUAGCUACAGGCUUAACACAUGCAAGUCGAGGGGCAGCGGGAUUGAAGCUUGCUUCAAUUGCCGGCGACCGGCGCACGGGUGAGUAACGCGUAUCCAACCUUCCGUACACUCAGGGAUAGCCUUUCGAAAGAAAGAUUAAUACCUGAUGGUAUGAUGAAAUUGCAUGAUAGCAUCAUUAAAGAUUUAUCGGUGUACGAUGGGGAUGCGUUCCAUUAGGUAGUAGGCGGGGUAACGGCCCACCUAGCCUACGAUGGAUAGGGGUUCUGAGAGGAAGGUCCCCCACGAUUGGAACUGAGACACGGUACCAAACUCCUACGGGAGGCA
RNAcentral lists this ribosomal RNA (353 nucleotides) under uncultured bacterium. RNAcentral's name for it is "bacterial SSU rRNA". It matches the Rfam family "Bacterial small subunit ribosomal RNA", at positions 9 to 350 of the family's 1533-position model. The record is from RNAcentral.